GAUGAACGCUGGCGGCGUGCCUAAUACAUGCAAGUCGAGCGAACAGACGAGGAGCUUGCUCCUCUGACGUUAGCGGCGGACGGGUGAGUAACACGUGGAUAACCUACCUAUAAGACUGGGAUAACUUCGGGAAACCGGAGCUAAUACCGGAUAAUAUAUUGAACCGCAUGGUUCAAUAGUGAAAGACGGUUUUGCUGUCACUUAUAGAUGGAUCCGCGCCGCAUUAGCUAGUUGGUAAGGUAACGGCUUACCAAGGCAACGAUGCGUAGCCGACCUGAGAGGGUGAUCGGCCACACUGGAACUGAGACACGGUCCAGACUCCUACGGGAGGCAGCAGUAGGGAAUCUUCCGCAAAGGGCGAAAGCCUGACGGAGCAACGCCGCGUGAAUGAUGAAGGUCUUCGGAUCGGAAAACUCUGUUAUUAGGGAAGAACAAAUGUGUAAGUAACUAUGCACGUCUUGACGGUACCUAAUCAGAAAGCCACGGCUAACUACGUG
RNAcentral lists this ribosomal RNA (497 nucleotides) under uncultured bacterium. RNAcentral describes it as "partial 16S ribosomal RNA". It matches the Rfam family "Bacterial small subunit ribosomal RNA", at positions 28 to 507 of the family's 1533-position model. The record is from RNAcentral.